GUAGCACAGAGGAGCUUGCUCCUUGGGUGACGAGUGGCGGACGGGUGAGUAGUGUCUGGGGAUCUGCCCGAUAGAGGGGGAUAACCACUGGAAACGGUGGCUAAUACCGCAUAACGUCGCAAGACCAAAGAGGGGGACCUUCGGGCCUCUCACUAUCGGAUGAACCCAGAUGGGAUUAGCUAGUACGCGGGGUAGUGGCCCACCUAGGCGACGAUCCCUAUCUGGUCUGAGAGGAUGACCAGCCACACUGGAACUGAGACACGGUCCAGACUCCUACGGGAGGCAGCAGUGGGGAAUAUUGCACAGUGGGCGCAAGCCUGAUGCAGCCGUGCCGCGUGUAUGAAGAAGGCCUUCGGGUUGUAGAGUACUUUCAGCGGAGAGGAACGCGACGGGGUUAAUAACCGUGUCGAUUGACGUUACCCGCAGAAGAAGCACCGGCUAACUCCGUGCCAGCAGCCGC
This 460-nucleotide ribosomal RNA is filed under the name bacterium 69-L049641-122-013-E09. RNAcentral's name for it is "bacterial SSU rRNA". It matches the Rfam family "Bacterial small subunit ribosomal RNA", at positions 69 to 518 of the family's 1533-position model. The record is from RNAcentral.